This 282-nucleotide ribosomal RNA is filed under the name uncultured bacterium. Its description in RNAcentral is "partial 16S ribosomal RNA". It matches the Rfam family "Bacterial small subunit ribosomal RNA", at positions 28 to 311 of the family's 1533-position model. The record is from RNAcentral.
GACGAACGCUGGCGGCGUGCUUAACACAUGCAAGUCGAGCGGUAAGGCCCUUUCGGGGGUACACGAGCGGCGAACGGGUGAGUAACACGUGGGUGACCUGCCCUCAGCUCUGGGAUAAGCCUGGGAAACCGGGUCUAAUACUGGAUAUGACUCCAUGACGCAUGUUGGUGGGGUGGAAAGCCUUGUGCGGCUGAGGAUGGGCCCGCGGCCUAUCAGCUUGUUGGUGGGGUGAGGCCUACCAAGGCGACGACGGGUAGCCGGCCUGAGAGGGCGACCGGCCAC